ACAAAAUAUUGAGUUUCCUGGAGAAGCCACUCCCUUUUGAGUUUCAGGCCCAGAGUGUCAGCUACUGAUUGCCACCUUAGGGACCAGGACCCUGCUCUCCUGCCUGAUUGGGCCCGUCCCGCUGCCGAGCUGGAGAAAGCCCGUGGGGCCCAGGCAAUGGUACCAUUUCCCAUUCUGUGGGGCUGGGUGCUCAUGGCCACCGUGACAACAGAUGCCUCAACAAGCUUGGUGGAGCAAAGGCCCAGGUGGGUCCUGGUACCUCGUGGACAAGCUAAAACCCUGCAGUGCAUCCUGAGGGAUUCCCAGUACCCCUGGAUGAGCUGGUACCAACAGGAUCUCCAGGGACAACUACAGCUGCUGGCCACCCUGCGGAGUACCGGGGAUAAGGAGGUCGUAUCCCAUCCUGGAGCAGAUUACCAGAUGACACGGGUCGAUAACACGGAGCUGAGUCUGCACGUGGCCAACGUGACCCAGGGCAGAACCCUGUACUGCACCUGCAGCAAAGACACAGUGAGACACCCUCCUUGGACAAAUGAAUAAAAACCAUCCUGGAUUGGCAACCACAGACCCAACCUCCUCCCCCGCCCCGACAGCCCCUGUAAGCCUGCUUCCUCUCCCCCCCAGAUCCUCCCUUGUCGCCUCUUUUCUAUAAACAGGCUCUUUUUUUCCCCCAGUUUAUUUAUUUUUGAGAGAGAAUGUGUGAGAAAGAGGCUGUGCACCAGGGGGAGCAGGAAAGGGGUAGAGAGAGGAAGAGAAAGAGAGAGAGGCAGAGAGGGAAUCCCAAGCAGGCUCCAAGCUGCCAACGCAGAGCCGGACCCGGGACUCCAUCUUGCAAACCGUGAGAUCAUGACCUGGGCCGAAAUCAGGAGUCGCACAGCCAACCGACUGUGCCUCUCUGUAGACUCUUCCUGCUGCCCUUUUGGUGAACGCUCCGCCUGAGUAGCAUGGCGAUUUGACCACAGGCUCCGAACGGCUCCGUUGCAGACCACUCUGCCACUUGGGACCUUUGGGAGAAACUUGGUUUCUGUGCCUAUAAAAUACAGACAGUAACUCCGCCCAGCUCAGAGCUUGCUGUGAGGAUCGAACGGCACGAUUCUUCACAAUAUGCCUACAUAACUAGCCAAUACAUUUUAAUACCAGAGGAGCGCUGGAAAGAAAUCUGGAGAAAUUCUGGGACCUCAGAAAGGAGGAAGAAUGCGUAUCUCAAUAGGUAGCCCCUUCAUCCACACCCCUAGAAUAAACACCCGCUUUUCCAAUUAGAUCCCCAUAUGCCGUGCUCACCACCACCUAAACAUCUCACACCCCAAUCUCAAGUUGAUCUCUUUUGAAGUAAAAUCCUUCAGAGAGGGCCUGACCUGGGAAGGACCAGGGUCUGGAGCCACAGCAGAGGGCUCGCCAAACGUCGACUAAAAAACCAUAGCUCAGAACUGGGUUUGCAACCUGAGCAAGGUCAUACACGGAGUGAGGGCCACACAAGGAGCCUAGGGCCCCAGGCAAAUGGACCAGAACCAGCAGGCCGGCGCAGGGCCUGGAGAGAGGCCCGGGUCCUGGGAGCCCUGCAGAGACGGUAGGCCGAGAGGCUGCUGCUCCACUCUGCCGCGAGCUCGGAACAUCUCUAUCCCAGACGAGCAGGUAACUGGGGUGCAAGGUGGGAGUGAACUAGAAGACAUCUCAAAGGAACCUCAGUCCCGAUGGUGGUCUGGGUGGCUGCGAGGCUGGGCCGCUGGCAAGUGUCCUUUCCUCAGUGCUUGUGGAGAGGGAGUUUGUCCACUAGGGGGCACCAUCUGCCCGUAGUUCUCCAUGAUCGGCUCAGACCGAUAGUCUGGCAUGGGUCACAGGUGAGUCUUCUCUCGGCCCCCUCUCCAGUGUGUGGUGAACACCUGCGCGGCUCUAGAGGACAAGAACGGUGAUGGGGAGCAGGGCUAGAGCCUGGCCCAGGGCACUGGGGACAUUUGGGUAUCUGUUCUCUCAUCCCUCCAAGAAGGGUACCUCUGAGAACGCCCCGCUUAGAUCCUUCCUCCGAGGCCAGCAAGAGGCUGUUAUACACCGAGAUGGCAGGGCAGAGAAGCCUGGGCCACCUGCCCUUAAGGAAAGCUGAGGCCCUCUGCUGGCAGCUUUUGAAACUCAGCCAAGCACCUCCUGCUGGAGCGAUGGAGGGCACCGUUGCUCUGGUUGAUGGGUUCGCUUCAACCCCAGUUCCCGGGAGCUCCCUGGAGACUUCCCAGAAGCAAAUCUGUUCACUUGGACCAUGAACUAUGCCUGAAUACCACUUCCUAGCCCCUCGAUUCCUAGCUGAUUGAACUAGCCCUCCUAGAUUGGCAGAUGGUAGGGAUUCACACUUUUUGAUUAGAUUAUCAAAUUUGAUUGAUGCUUUUGAUUAUUUUAUUUAUCCGUUAUCCAGAUAAGAAAUACUGAUCUAUGUGAUGUCGUCUCCUGUCUACAGGCUGGUGAGAGUGAUUUGUCCAUGUCUUUACAAAGUAUAUUUAGCUUCAUUUUCUCAUUCAAUACUUUCAAAUGCCCUCUUAGGCAAGUACCACCAUUUGUUGCUUUUUAUUUUUGCUUUUAUUUUAAUAGGGAAAUGGAUGCUCAACAGUGAUGUCACGCAGGUAAUCGUCAUACAGCUAGGACUCAAGUAGAGGAAUUCUAAGUCAGAUCUGUGACUCUCAACACCUCAUGAUGCUGCCUUUUUGCAUAAUGAAUACAUUGCCACCGGGACAAGGCAUCUCUGCCCCUUCCAGAAAGGCAGCUCCCGUCGUGGUGCAGACAUGGUCAGAGAGCCCAGGGAAGACCACACACGAUGUGGCAGCAAGUCAGGUGGGUGUCCUGCAGAGACCCUAAGUACCCUGCAGACUUGUCCUAGGAUUCAGUGGCUCCAGAUGGGAAUAGAGAGUUAUACAUAUUAAAUCUAAUUAU
Molecule: non-coding RNA, 2913 nt
Organism: Panthera uncia (snow leopard)
Lineage: Eukaryota; Metazoa; Chordata; Mammalia; Carnivora; Felidae
Source: the annotation of a RefSeq genome assembly